UGAAUGGGCGCAGCUGAUCCUUCAAUGCCGCGUGGGUGAAGAAGGUCUCGGAUCGUAAAGCCCUUUCGACAGGGACGAUGAUGACGGUACCUGUAGAAGAAGCCCCGGCUAACUUCGUGCCAGCAGCCGCGGUAAUACGAAGGGGGCUAGCGUUGCUCGGAAUUACUGGGCGUAAAGGGCGCGUAGGCGGCUUAGUCAGUCAGGCGUGAAAUUCCUGGGCUUAACCUGGGGGCUGCGCUUGAUACGGCUAGGCUAGAGGGUAGGAGAGGGUCGCGGAAUUCCCAGUGUAGAGGUGAAAUUCGUAGAUAUUGGGAAGAACACCGGUGGCGAAGGCGGCGACCUGGCCUAUUACUGACGCUGAGGCGCGACAGCGUGGGGAGCAAACAGGAUUAGAUACCCUGGUAGUCCACGCCGUAAACGAUGUGCGCUGGAUGUUGGGGCCCAUAGGGUCUCAGUGUCGUAGCUAACGCGGUAAGCGCACCGCCUGGGGAGUACGGACGCAAGGUUGAAACUCAACGGAAUUGUCGGGGGCCCGCACAAGCGGUGGAGCAUGUGGUUUACUUCGAAGCAACGCGCAGAACCUUACCAGCCCUUGACAUGGGCACGCUCGGUCCAGAGAUGGACUUUUCCCGCAAUGGACCUGGCGCACGUGUGUGCUGGUUGUCAGCACUCGUGUCGUG
Molecule: ribosomal RNA, 680 nt
Filed under: uncultured bacterium
Lineage: Bacteria
Description: bacterial SSU rRNA
Rfam family: Bacterial small subunit ribosomal RNA
Source: RNAcentral